ACACAUCUGCAGACCGACCAACAUCUUUGUAAUUUCUGCCCGACCCAAGUUUGUAACCGUAACCGAAGCAAGCAUCUGACCUGCACUGUACGAGCAGUCACACCAGUGAAGCUCUGCGGGGGUCUUUGUCCACAGUUCCCAUUUUUCUUGGGAAGAGCCACUGGAGCAGCUUUACAGCAUGCUACCAAGUUUGGAAGUUUUAUUGACAGGUGAUCUUUGCUACUUUAUGAGGUCAACAAUGUGGUAAAGAAAUGAGAAAGAUAUGACCAGACACCAAUGUGAGAGCAAGCUGUGCUCGUAGCAUGGGGAGGAGGAGUGAUGGACGCGGUUAGCAGCAUUCCCACUCGUGCUGAUUGGCAGGGGGCGGGCAGACGCCGCCCGGUUAAAAGGGGAGCGCGCCAAAACAAUGGGGGGGACCCGCGUAAUAUCGGAGAGGACUGAUCACCCUCGCCGGAGGUCCUGCGUCUGUGAAAACCUGGACGACCCCAUCACGAUUUGGUAUACCAUCUGAGUAUGCUCAAGAGCU
Molecule: long non-coding RNA, 526 nt
Organism: Alligator sinensis (Chinese alligator)
Lineage: Eukaryota; Metazoa; Chordata; Crocodylia; Alligatoridae
Exons: 3
Source: RefSeq, a predicted model, not a curated record